AUCGCUUCUCGGCCCUAUGGCUAAGAUCAAAGUGUAGUAUCUGUUCUUAUCAGCUUAAUAUCUGAUACGCCCCGCAUGCGGGGCCAGUAUAUUAAACUGAUUUUUGGAAAUUGACGGCGGUUAGGGGCUUGCUCCACCGCCGUCGCGGGUUGGCCCGGUAUUGCAGUACCUCCGGGAUCGGCCCACUUUAU
Small nuclear RNA from Harmonia axyridis, 191 nucleotides. RefSeq annotates it as U2 spliceosomal RNA. The transcript has a single exon. The record is from RefSeq and is a predicted model, not a curated record. NCBI's taxonomy places the organism in Eukaryota, Metazoa, Arthropoda, Insecta, Coleoptera, Coccinellidae.